Non-coding RNA from Coffea arabica (coffee), 7836 nucleotides. The record is from RefSeq and is a predicted model, not a curated record. Lineage: Eukaryota; Viridiplantae; Streptophyta; Magnoliopsida; Gentianales; Rubiaceae.
AUACAUUUUCAUAUAUAGAUACAGGCACUUGUAUGUACGUGCCCAUCGCUCGAUAUUUCAAUCCUAAUUCAGUAAAUCUCCCAAUCGCCUUCUGAUUUCCAUUGAAUUUCUACUUAUUUUCUCUCUCCUCUCCCAUUCUACCAGUUUCUUUCUCUUUCUUUCUUCAAUUAGUGAAAACCCUAAUCUUGAAAAACCUCCUCUUGAACCCUAGUGAUUGGAAUUUGUUUCAGCUCGUUUCAACUUUACAAUCGAAACAACCAUUCGGCUUGAGAUAUUCGGUAGUUUCUAUUUUUUUCUUAAUGUACUUUCUGAGUUUGACCAGCAUAAACCCUGCUGAGGUUCAAUGCUGAAGGCAGCAUGCAGAUGAUAGCUGGGAGACAUGCAAAGGUAUCAUGCUGCCAGCUGCACUAGUGCAGUCAAUAACACUGCCAUUGGAGGAUCUGCUAGGGAUGUUUCCCGAGCUGAGUCAUCUUCCAUUCCGUCAAACUUUUCUUUGAAUUCUAGGCGACCGUUACCUUUAACUCCAUAUAAACUGAGGUGUGAUAAAGAACCAUUGAAUUCCAGACUCGGGCUGCCUGACUUUCACCUCCAGACUCCUACUUGUCCUGAGGAGACGUUGACCAGGGACUAUGUGCAGUCUGGUUAUAGGGAGACGGUUGAAGGGAUUGAGGAAAAUAGAGAGACUUCAUUAUCACAAAUUCAGACUUUUACAAAGCCAGUCAUCCUCAAGUGCAAGGAGUCAAUAAGAAAAUGUCACAGGGCUAUUAAUGAGUCCCGUGCACAAAAACGAAAGGCGGGCCAAGUUUAUGGUGUGCCUCUUUCAGGUUCACUUUUAAGUAAACCUGGCCCCUUUCCUGAGCAAAAACCAUGUGGUGAAGAGUUUCGAAAGAAAUGGAUUGAGGGAUUAUCUCAACCGCAUAAAAGAUUGUGUUCUUUGGCUGAUCAUGUUCCUCAUGGUUACCGGAGGAAAUCUCUUCUUGAAGUUCUCAUUAGGAAUAAUGUUCCACUACUCAGAGCUACUUGGUUUGUGAAAGUGACUUAUCUUAAUCAGGUACGGCCUGGCUCUUCCAAUUUGUCUGGUGGUGUGCCUGACAAAACGCAGUUUUCCCGAUCAGAGCAGUGGACAAAAGAUAUCAUAGAUUACCUCCAGGCGCUCUUGGAUGAGUUUGUUUCGAAAAAUAAUUUUCAUUCCACUCUGCAUAUUAGGGAUCGAUCACCACAAAUGGUUUAUCCUGGGACCCUACAACAUCGAAAUGAUGCUGCUUCUACUUCUACUGAUGCUGAUGAGCCUUCUUUGCAUUUUAAGUGGUGGUAUGUGGUUAGGCUCUUACAAUGGCACCAUGCAGAAGGACUGAUUGUUCCAUCUCUCAUUAUUGAUUGGGUUUUUAAUCAACUGCAGGAAAAAGAGCGUCUUGGGAUUUUGCAGUUGUUACUGCCUGUAAUAUAUGGUGUAAUCGAAGCCGUCGUAUUAUGUCAGACCUACGUGCGAACUCUGGUUGGCAUAGCUAUGCGUUUUAUUCAAGAACCUUCUCCUGGUGGGUCUGAUCUUGUAGAUAAUUCCCGAAGGGCUUAUACCAUGUCUGCUCUUGUUGAGAUGCUUCAUUAUUUGAUAAUUGCUGUUCCUGAUACUUUUGUUGCUUUGGAUUGCUUUCCCUUACCAUUGUGUUUGGUAACUAAUGUGGUCAAUGAUGGGAGUUUUUUGUUGAAGAUAGCUGAAGAUGAAAGCAACAUGAAAACUGGUCCCCUUGAAGUAGCCUGCUUGCAGAGAGACAAGGGUGUUGAGGUUCACCCUGACUCUUUGACCAUAAACUGUAUUGUUUCAUCUAUUCAGAAACGUGCAGAAAACCUUGCAAAGGCUGCCAGACCGGGACAUCCAAGUCAAAAUGUAGCUAAAGCUUUACUGGCAUUAGAUAAAUCUCUUAUUCACGGAGAUGUGUCAGUGGCAUAUAAACUUCUUUUUGAAAAUCUUUGUGAUGGAGCUGUUGAUGAACGUUGGAUUGCUGAAGUGAGUUUGUGUCUACGGUCAUCGCUCAAGUAUAUUGGAGCAGUGACCUUGUCAUUUAUUUCCUCUAUCUUUUUCAUUUGUGAGUGGGCAACUUGUGAUUUUAGGGAUUUUCGCACUGGCCCACCAUCAGGCCAGAAGUUCACUGGGAAAAAAGACCUCUCUCAGAUAUAUAUUGCUAUACGGAUUUUGCAGCUCAAGAGGAGAGAGAUGCAAAGCUUGUCUCAGGGCAAGAACGAGAGUAGCCUUGCUCCUGAUACUCUAGCCAAAGAUCCUGAUUUGCAGAAUAAUUAUCCAGGCAGGUUUCCUGUUGGCAAUGCUUGUGAACAAAAUAAAUACAGUUUAAAGAGUGGGAAAACUAGAAAUUUGUCAAAUAUUUUUGAAAGCCCGAGCCCUUUACAUGACAUUAUUGUCUGCUGGAUUGAUCAACAUGAAGUACACAGUGGAGAAGGCGUCAAGCGGCUUCAACUACUCAUAAUGGAACUUGUGAGGGCUGGUAUCUUCUAUCCCCAGGCAUAUGUGAGGCAAUUAAUUGUUAGUGGAAUCAUGGAUGGGAAUGGGAUUUCAGUUGACCUGGAGAGACGGAAGAGACAUCAUAGAAUUUUGAAGCAGCUUCCUAGUUCCUAUGUACAUGAUGCUCUCGAAGAAGCACAGGUUCUUGAAGGAGCAAUGCUUUUGGAGGUGAUUAAUACAUAUGCAAAUGAGCGUCGCUUGGUACUUCGUGGCCUGCUUGAUUGCCAUAAGAGUUCUGGCAGCUCUUGGCAGAAACAAAAGCAUUAUUAUAACUCAGGAGGUGGCAGUGCAUCUCCUUCUUCUGUUGAUCAGUGGAGAUCUCUUCAGGGGAUAUCCAGUUUAACUACCAAAAAUGUUGAUCAAGUUGUUGAGCUUGAAGAUCUAAAGGCUUCAAUAGUAAUGUUGCUGCAGCUUCCUAGUUCAUCACUGUCAAGUGACAGUGGACUAGAAAAUUUUGUUGGGGGUUUUAAGAGAUCUACGGGAUCUUCUAUUACCAAGAUCGAUAUUGGUGAAGGAACACCUGGAUGUGAAGAGUGUAGAAGGGUGAAGAGACAAAAGUUGAGUGAAGAUAGGAGCUCAUACCCACAGGGAUUUUUAUCCAAUGCAUUGGAUGAUGAAGAUAUAUGGUGGCUGAGGAGGGGCCCGAAGUCUCUCGACAAAAUGGAUCCACCUCCUAAGCAAGCCAAGCAAUCUGGAAGGGGGAGGCAAAAGGGUGUUCGUAAAACACAAAGCCUUGCACAGUUAGCAGCUGCUAGAAUUGAAGGUAGCCAAGGGGCUUCCACAAGUCAUGUUUGUGAUAAUAGGGUGAACUGCCCACACCAUAGAACUGGUGUUGAAGGUGAUGCUCCAAAAUCUGGGGAUGGGAUCAGAAUGGCAUAUGGUAGUGACAUUGUUUCAAUUGGAAAAGUUCUGAAAAAGAUGCGACUUGUGGAGAAGAGAACUGUGAUGUUAUGGUUGAUAAGUGUUGUAAAGCAUCUUGUUGAAGAAGCUGAAAAGACUGCAGCAAAAGUUGGUCAAUAUGGCAGACCAUAUUCUGCUGUUGAUGAUGCAAACUCUGUGCGAUGGAAGCUUGGUGAAGAUGAAUUAUCUAUGAUUUUGUAUCUGAUGGAUGUUUCUAAUGAAUUAGUAUCUGCUGCCAGGUUUCUUCUCUGGUUGCUGCCAAAAGCUCUUAGCAGCCCUGCUGCUUCCAUCCACGCUGGUCGGAACAUCUUAAUGCUUCCAAGAAAUACGGAGAAUGUUGUUUGUGAAGUCGGGGAGGCAUUUCUUGUAUCAUCUAUUAGGAGGUAUGAAAAUAUAAUCGUAGCCGCAGAUCUUGUUCCUGAAACCUUGAAAGCUGCAAUGCAUCGAGUUGCAGCCACAAUGGCCUCUACCGGAAGGGUUUCAGGUUCUUCAGCUUUGGUUUAUGCAAGAAAUUUGGUGAAGAAGUACGGAAACGUGGCUAGUGUUGUUGAUUGGGAGAAAAACCUUAAAUCAUCUUAUGAUAAAAGACUCAUUUCUGAGCUUGAAUCUGGAAGAUUGCCUGAUGCGGAGUUUGGCUUCCCACUUGGAGUUCCUGCAGGAGUUGAAGAUCUUGAUGAUUUUUUCCGUCACAAGAUAAGUGGUGUACGGGUGUCCAGAGUUGCUUUGACAAUGAGAGAUAUAGUACAAAGGCAAGUUGUUGAAGUUUUUCAAUACUUUUGUGGCAAAGAAAGAAAGCUUUUUGGGCCUGGUACAGUAAAAAGCCCUGUCUUGGAAAACUUGGAUGAUGGUUAUCAAAUAGCUCAACAAAUAGUAAUGGGAUUAAUGGAGUGCAUGAGGCAAACUGGUGGUGCUGCUCAGGAAGGUGAUCCUACUUUGGUAUCCUCUGCUAUUUCUGCAAUUGUCAGUAAUGUUGGACUGGUUAUUGCUAAAAUUCCUGACUUAACUGCUGGCAAUCACCUAAAUUUCCAGUCCACAUCCAGUUCAAUGCAUUUUGCUCGACGCAUUUUACGCAUCCAUACAACUUGCUUGUGCCUGCUGAAGGAUGCACUUGGUGAGCGUCAGAGUCGUGUCUUUGAGGUUGCUCUUGCAGUUGAAGCUUCUACUGCCCUUGCUCAAGUGUUUGUGCCAGGAAAGGCUCCUCGCACUCAAUUUCAUCCAUCUCCUGAAUCCCAUGAUUCUAGUUCAAACUCCUAUGAAGCCUUGAAUAGUUCUGUUAAAAGUGUACUUGGACGAGGGGCAAAAAUUGCUGGAGCAAUUUCUGCACUUCUUGUUGGGGCACUUCUUCAGGGAGUUACUAGCCUUGAGAGAAUGGUUACUCUCUUCAGAUUAAGGGAAGGGCUUGAUCCAAUUCACUUUUUCAGGAGUUUGAAAUCCAACUCAAACGGGAGUGCUCGUUCCAUUGGGGCUCUGAAGCUGGAUAAUUUGGUUGAAGUUUCCACCCACUGGUUUCGAGUGCUUGUAGGUAAUUGCAGAACUGUUUCUGAUGGAUUUAUUGUGGAGCUCUUGGGUGAAGCGUCAGUUGUAGGUCUCUCUAGAAUGCAGAGAACACUUCCUCUGAACUUGGUCUUUCCGCCUGCCUAUUCUAUAUUUGCAUUUGUCAUAUGGAAAGGAUUAAUUUUUAAUACUGGUGUUGGCUUGCGUGAUGACCUCCAACAAUUGUAUCAGUCCUUAGCAUUGGCGAUAGGUGAUGCAUUAAAGCACCUUCCGUUCCGUGAUGUGUGUCUGCGAGACACUCAUGGCCUUUAUGAUCUCAUAGCUGCAGAUGCCAUUGAUUCUGAGUUUGCAGCCUUACUGGAAUCACAUAGUGCAGACGUUCUUUACAAAUCCAUGGCCUUUGUUCCUCUCAGGGCACGGCUUUUCUUAAAUGCCCUUAUUGACUGUAGAAUGCCACAGUCAUUGCUUAAACCAGAGGACGUUAAUAGGAUGCAAGGGCAAGGUGGCCUAAAGAACUAUUAUCAGGAGAAGGAUGCAAAUUUCAGAGAUAAGCUUGUGCAUGUUUUGGAUACAUUACAACCUGCAAAAUUUCACUGGCAGUGGGUUGAGCUUAGGCUUCUUUUGAAUGAACAAACAGUCAUUGAUAAACUGAAAAAUGAAGCCCCUUUGGCGGAGGCUAUUAAAUCAGUUUCACCGAAUGCUGACAAGGUUGCAGUUUCUGAGAAAGAGAGCAGCUUUGUUGAACUCGUUGUAAUGAGGUUACUUGCCAGACCAGAUGCUGCUUCACUCUUUUCUGAGGUUGUGCACCUUUUUGGAAGGUCACUUGAGGACCAAAUGCUAAUGCAAACUAAAUGGCUUCUUGGAGGCACUGAUGUUCUUUAUGGAAGGAAAUCAAUUCGGCAACGGCUUAUCAUUAAUGCUGAAAAAGAACAUCUAUCAACUAAACUGCAGUUCUGGAAGCCAUGGGGGUGGUGUGAUUCAAACUCUGAUUCGCGGAAAACAAGGGGAAGCAAGAGGAAGUUUGAAGUCGCCUCUCUUGAAGAAGGUGAGGUGGUUGAUGAAGGUUCAGAUGUGAGAUUUCCUGGAAGAGGAUCCACUCAAGUUGUGGAUGUUGAAGGUUUCUUGGUGAGUCAGCAGCAUGUGACAGAGAGAGCAUUUAUUGAAUUAGUUCUGCCUUGUGUGGAUCAAGGCUCUGAUGCCUCAAGAAACACCUUUGCAAAUGACAUGAUCAAACAGAUGAAUAACAUUGAGCAGCAGAUAAAUGUACUUUCUCAUGGAGCAGCUAAAUCUGUUGGAUCAGUUGCAUCUGGAGCAGAAAGCCCAGCAAGCAAGGGCAAUAGCCGAAAAGGUAUGAGAGGUGGGAGUCCUGGAUUAUCCAAUUCCAGACGACCUGCGGGACCAGCUGAUGGAGUACCAUCUUCCCCAGCGGGGUUGCGAGCUUCCAUGUCAUUGCGCUUGCAGUUUCUCCUAAGACUACUUCCUACUAUGUGCACGGAUGGGGAGCCAGGAAAGAGUAUGAGACAGAUGCUUGCUGCGGUUAUAUUACGCCUUCUAGGAUGUAGAGUUGUCCAUGAAGCUGCAGGCCAUACCACAAGUUCAACUUUGAAUUUAUCCAAGAGAGAUGUCGAGUCGCUUACAGAGGCUUCUGCUACAUCUGUACUUUUAUCUGGGGAAAGUCUUUUCGAUUGUUUGUUAUUGCUGCUACAUGGACUGCUGAGCAGCUAUCGACCUAGCUGGCUGAAGUUGAAAUCUAACUCCAAGUCCGCCUCCGAGUGCGGCAAGGACUUUAGUGUUUUUGGUCGUGAGGUGGCGGAGAAUCUGCAGAAUGAUCUGAACCGCAUGCAUAUGCCGGACCAUAUCCGGUGGCGAAUUCAAACUGCAAUGCCAAUUCUUCUUCCAUCUGUUCGGUGCUCAAUCUCUUGUCAACCUCCAUCUAUAUCACCGGCUUCGAUUGCUGCUCUCCAGUCCAGCAAUCAGAUAUCAGUUUUACAGCCUCACAAUUCAAUCCUAUCCCAGAGAAAUCCAGUUUCUUUGGUUCGAACUGUCGCUAAUAUGGCAGGGAAGGCUAAGCAACUGCCACUGCAAGAUCUGGACUUGGAAAUUGACCCUUGGACCCUAUUGGAGGAUGGAACGGGUGUGCAAUCUUCGAGCAACUCUGCUGCUAUUGGUGGUAGUGACCAUGCUAAUUUGAGAGCAUCAAACUGGCUCAAGGGGGCCAUUAGGGUGAGGAGGACUGACCUCGCCUACAUUGGUGCAAUAGAUGAGGACAGCUGAUAUGAGUAGUACUUCAAUUUUGAAUUUACAUACAAAGGGAGCACCCAGCAGGAAAGCGUCCUCGCUCAUCCGUGACGGGAAAGUGGCCAUCGGGGUCGCUCUAAUUGCCUUUGGCAGCAAAGGCAUCUGCUUAAAGGCACAUUCUUUUUGGGUGCACGGGGUUCUGACUGGGUCACGUGGAGUCAUGGACGACAUUCUUUGGCGGCCUGUCCAUUUUACCUCGCAGCCCUGAUUGACAACUAACCCUUUGAUCACCCCCUUCUGGACAGCACAAUUCUUGGCGCAGUUCAGAAGUUGUUGUACAUAUAGGGAUAACUAUUUCCCCCUUUUGGGAUGAGUAGAAUGUCUCAGAAAUGAUUUUCUGCUCUUUCAUGCUCAGCGCUUGUUGUUACAUCUUGCAAAUUGAAUUUUGCAUGAAGCCUGGCCAAGUAACAAAAGUUUCGGGUUUACUUUCCGAUUUCCUAGUUUUUACAUGCGAACAGGUAUUAGCGCAUAUUUGUAACAAAGACUUCUUUAGUUUAGGAUUUGUAACAGCCUGGCAUCACAAACUAGACGUAUUGAUACACAAUUGUCUUAACAAUUUUGGCUAGUUUUUCUUAAGGUCUAUUCUCCGACCGGCUGCUCAAGCCAGGUCAAAUGUGCUGGUUCCUCUC